RNAcentral lists this ribosomal RNA (529 nucleotides) under uncultured bacterium. RNAcentral describes it as "bacterial SSU rRNA". It matches the Rfam family "Bacterial small subunit ribosomal RNA", at positions 94 to 640 of the family's 1533-position model. The record is from RNAcentral.
AGCGGCGGACGGGUGAGUAACGCGUGGGCAACCUGCCCCAUACAGAGGGAUAGCCACUGGAAACGGUGAUUAAUACCUCAUAAGACCACAGCAACACAUGUUGCAGAGGUAAAAACUCCGGUGGUAUGGGAUGGGCCCGCGUCUGAUUAGCUAGUUGGUAAGGUAACGGCUUACCAAGGCGACGAUCAGUAGCCGACCUGAGAGGGUGAUCGGCCACACUGGAACUGAGACACGGUCCAGACUCCUACGGGAGGCAGCAGUGGGGAAUAUUGCACAAUGGGCGAAAGCCUGAUGCAGCAACGCCGCGUGAACGAUGAAGGCCUUCGGGUUGUAAAGUUCUUUUCUUGGAGAAGAAUCCAUGACGGUAUCCAAGGAAUAAGCCCCGGCUAACUACGUGCCAGCAGCCGCGGUAAUACGUAGGGGGCAAGCGUUAUCCGGAAUCACUGGGCGUAAAGGGAGUGUAGGCGGUCAAGCAAGUCAGAGGUGAAAGGCAUCGGCUCAACCGAUGUAAGCCUUUGAAACUGUUUGA